UACGUAGGGGGCGAGCGUUGUCCGGAAUUAUUGGGCGUAAAGGGCGCGUAGGCGGGUAUUUAAGUCUGGUGUGAAAGAUCAGGGCUCAACCCUGAGAGUGCAUCGGAAACUGGGUAUCUUGAGGACAGGAGAGGAAAGUGGAAUUCCACGUGUAGCGGUGAAAUGCGUAGAUAUGUGGAGGAACACCAGUGGCGAAGGCGACUUUCUGGACUGUAACUGACGCUGAGGCGCGAAAGCGUGGGGAGCAAACAGG
RNAcentral lists this ribosomal RNA (253 nucleotides) under uncultured bacterium. RNAcentral describes it as "partial 16S ribosomal RNA". It matches the Rfam family "Bacterial small subunit ribosomal RNA", at positions 524 to 776 of the family's 1533-position model. The record is from RNAcentral.